UACGGGGGGAGCAAGCGUUGUUCGGAUUUACUGGGCGUAAAGCGCACGUAGGCGGAUCUUUAAGUCAGGGGUGAAAUCCCGAGGCUCAACCUCGGAACUGCCUUUGAUACUGGGGAUCUCGAGUCCGGAAGAGGUUGGUGGAACUCCGAGUGUAGAGGUGAAAUUCGUAGAUAUUCGCGAGAACACCAGUGGCGAAGGCGGCUCACUGGCCCGAUACUGACGCUGAGGCACGAAAGCGUGGGGAGCAAACAGG
RNAcentral lists this ribosomal RNA (253 nucleotides) under uncultured bacterium. RNAcentral describes it as "partial 16S ribosomal RNA". It matches the Rfam family "Bacterial small subunit ribosomal RNA", at positions 524 to 776 of the family's 1533-position model. The record is from RNAcentral.